CACCCCUUUCUAUGUUCUGGACAACAGAUCUUAUUGGGGAGGAGCUAGUGACAUGCUUGGUGGCGAUGAACCCGAGGAUCUUACCAUUCAUUCUUGAAGGACAAAUUAUGCUUCUUUCAUCCCCCAGCUACUAGGGCCCGUGCCUUUUGAUGCUGACACCAUAACUUAGGUGUUUCUCCUGACUUAAUUUGUUGAGUCUUUUAUUUUUCUUUAUUCUGCUUAUUUAUCCAACUGCUUUGUCUUUAGUUUAUCCGUCGUACCCUUGCUGCUUCUAAGCUGACAAAGGGGCGGUCUUCC
RNAcentral lists this long non-coding RNA (297 nucleotides) under Ricinus communis (castor bean). RNAcentral describes it as "long non-coding RNA (RCOM_LNC000303)". Lineage: Eukaryota; Viridiplantae; Streptophyta; Magnoliopsida; Malpighiales; Euphorbiaceae. The record is from RNAcentral.